UGGCUGUCUCAUGGAGGGCAUUUGUGUAAGCUGAGCCAGACUGUGCCUAUUUACAUCCACCGUCUCCAUCCGUGAAAGAGAGGGUCACUCCAUCUGUCACGGUUUAUCAACUGACAAAUUCCCACCGGUGCUAAUGGCAAGCUCAGGGCCUUAAAAGGAAGAAAGGGCCUUUUCCUGGGGCCAUCAGAGUCGUAGUCUGUGGAGGCUCAAGCAAGGGUCCUGUGCUUGCCUGGGACUCUUCAUCACAGAGCGGAUGGCGGAUGGAGUUGAAGGAGGAGAGAGCAGCCCAGGCCUGGCAGCCUCAGCAGGGCCAGAUAACAGCUGAUACUGGGACUAAUUUGGUAAUGUGCAGGACGGAGUUUGGAGCUGCUGUAGGUCAAAGAGGAGACUGGCUGGGCGAGCGUUAAGCUGGUCAGGUGCUGCGCCACCAGUGAUCAUUAGGGUUACAGCUGCUUGGGCCAGAUUGUCUGCUGCCUGUGCCGGGCGAGAUGUCUCACCCUGGGAAAAAGAGCGAGCAUCUGUCUGUCCUUCCCCAUAGACACGAACCUCCUACCAGCCUGUCCAACUCAACCCGACUGGUAACAAGGAGGAAGAAACCAGAGAACCCUGGGGAAACCCCUGAAUCAUGAAGAGAACAUCAAACACUCAACCCUGGAGGUGGGAGGCAAAUGUGCUAACCACAAACCCACUGUAUACACAAACACCUACAGUGCACACUGCACUGAAUAGCAUGAGGUGACCUGAAGUGGCAACUUCUUCAGUUUUUUUUUUUACACUGAUGAACUUGAUGUCAAACUGAAAUGAUUGGAUGCUAAUCUGAAGCCAUUUGACUGAUUAUAAAGCAUACAGUGAUGGACUGGAUGAAAGAAGAACAGAUUUUCAGAUUAUUUAGUAGUAGGUUUAAAUAAAAAUGUAGGGAAUUAAAAGACAUUUUUCUUGGAAAUGUAAUUAAUAAAGAUGCCACUGAUCCAAUACCCACUAUCAGUAUUGGAUACAGAUAACAGAAAACAAAUGGUGGCUUGGCUGAUAGAAAAGAACAUCUGAAGAAUGUAUCAUAUCUGAUCAUGUUUUAGCUGAAUGGUUUCUGAUCCUGUAAAAAUGGAAAAGAUGCAAUUGGAUUUUGGAAGUUUAGUUUUGGAACUAGGAAUGUUUACAUAUAAAUAGACUUAAUUGCAAUUGCUUUUAUUUUAUAUUACAUAUUAUAUUUACUAUGAAUGUGAAAAAAAAUGUAUAUAGGAGGGGCACCAGUAUCAGCUGAUACUCAAGGUUUGGUACCAAACAUUGGUAUUGGUAUUGGUAUUGGUAUUGGUAUUG
Molecule: long non-coding RNA, 1314 nt
Organism: Hemibagrus wyckioides
Lineage: Eukaryota; Metazoa; Chordata; Actinopteri; Siluriformes; Bagridae
Exons: 4
Source: RefSeq, a predicted model, not a curated record